GAGGGGUGGCAGAGUGGUUGAAUGCGGCGGUCUCGAAAACCGUUUACCCUUCGGGGUACGAGGGUUCGAAUCCCUCCUCCUCC
This 83-nucleotide transfer RNA is filed under the name uncultured Olsenella sp. It matches the Rfam family "tRNA". Rfam says of the family: Transfer RNA (tRNA) molecules are approximately 80 nucleotides in length. Their secondary structure includes four short double-helical elements and three loops (D, anti-codon, and T loops). The record is from RNAcentral. Lineage: Bacteria; Bacillati; Actinomycetota; Coriobacteriia; Coriobacteriales; Atopobiaceae. RNAcentral also lists the same sequence under 1 other name.